RNAcentral lists this ribosomal RNA (407 nucleotides) under uncultured prokaryote. RNAcentral describes it as "bacterial SSU rRNA". It matches the Rfam family "Bacterial small subunit ribosomal RNA", at positions 355 to 776 of the family's 1533-position model. RNAcentral also lists the same sequence under 1 other name. The record is from RNAcentral.
UGGGGAAUAUUGGGCAAUGGGGGGAACCCUGACCCAGCAACGCCGCGUGAGGGAAGAAGGUCUUCGGAUUGUAAACCUCUGUCCUUGGGGACGAAGAAAGUGACGGUACCCGAGGAGGAAGCUCCGGCUAACUACGUGCCAGCAGCCGCGGUAAUACGUAGGGAGCAAGCGUUGUCCGGAAUUACUGGGCGUAAAGGGUGCGUAGGCGGUUUGUUAAGUCAGAUGUGAAAUACCCGGGCUCAACCUGGGGGGUGCAUCUGAAACUGGCAGACUUGAGUGCAGGAGAGGAAAGCGGAAUUCCUAGUGUAGCGGUGAAAUGCGUAGAUAUUAGGAGGAACACCAGUGGCGAAGGCGGCUUUCUGGACUGUAACUGACGCUGAUGCACGAAAGCGUGGGGAGCAAACAGG